RNAcentral lists this transfer RNA (72 nucleotides) under Marmota marmota marmota (Alpine marmot). It matches the Rfam family "tRNA". From Rfam's summary of the family: Transfer RNA (tRNA) molecules are approximately 80 nucleotides in length. Their secondary structure includes four short double-helical elements and three loops (D, anti-codon, and T loops). Further hydrogen bonds mediate the characteristic L-shaped molecular structure. tRNAs have two regions of fundamental functional importance: the anti-codon, which is responsible for specific mRNA codon recognition, and the 3' end, to which the tRNAs corresponding amino acid is attached (by aminoacyl-tRNA synthetases). tRNAs cope with the degeneracy of the genetic code in two manners: having more than one tRNA (with a specific anti-codon) for a particular amino acid; and 'wobble' base-pairing, i.e. permitting non-standard base-pairing at the 3rd anti-codon position. Lineage: Eukaryota; Metazoa; Chordata; Mammalia; Rodentia; Sciuridae. RNAcentral also lists the same sequence under 1 other name. The record is from Rfam by way of RNAcentral.
UGCGGUGGAGCUCAGUGGGAGAGCAUUUGUCUUGCAUGCACAAAGUCCUGGGUUCCAUCCCCAACACUGCAG